Molecule: small nuclear RNA, 102 nt
Organism: Solanum dulcamara
Lineage: Eukaryota; Viridiplantae; Streptophyta; Magnoliopsida; Solanales; Solanaceae
Source: RefSeq, a predicted model, not a curated record
UGCAAGUUCCUUAGAAAUAUGUCCUUCAAAAUGAUACAGAGAGGAUUAACAUGACUCCUGUGCAAUAAUGACAAUGUACAUAUCGAGAAACGAUAAUUUUUU